UUAAGUCCCGCAACGAGCGCAACCCCUAUUGUUAGUUGCCAUCAUUCAGUUGGGCACUCUAGCGAGACUGCCGGUAAUAAACCGGAGGAAGGUGGGGAUGACGUCAAAUCAUCAUGCCCCUUAUGACCUGGGCUACACACGUGCUACAAUGGUUGGUACAACGAGUUGCGAGUCGGUGACGGCGAGCUAAUCUCUUAAAGCCAAUCUCAGUUCGGAUUGUAGGCUGCAACUCGCCUACAUGAAGUCGGAAUCGCUAGUAAUCGCGGAUCAGCACGCCGCGGUCGAAUACGUUCCCGGGCCUU
RNAcentral lists this ribosomal RNA (302 nucleotides) under uncultured Streptococcus sp. Its description in RNAcentral is "bacterial SSU rRNA". It matches the Rfam family "Bacterial small subunit ribosomal RNA", at positions 1080 to 1382 of the family's 1533-position model. The record is from RNAcentral. Lineage: Bacteria; Bacillati; Bacillota; Bacilli; Lactobacillales; Streptococcaceae.